CAGCUCUAUAAAUGCUGAGAGUAGCAUAUCUUCAAGUCAAUCCUCAGAAGCUUCUUCAAUGGAAACAGAUGGAAAAAGACUCGCGACAAAGACGUAUCGUUCCUGUAAGCCAUGCCCUCACGACAUGAUGAAGAAGUACAAGAACCACGGCAUCAAGUGGAUAUGUGGCGGCUACCAGCGUGCGCGCAGGUCCUUCAAGAGUGACUGUAUGAUGAAGUAUAGGAACUGUCAGGAUGGGACCAUGUUCGUGAAAGUUUACGAUCGCCGCUGCAAAGACGACCCUCACCACGGAAGGCACUGGUUUUAUAUUUAUAAAACUUGAAAAUUAUAGCUGUUUUAUUUAAAUGC
Long non-coding RNA from Bicyclus anynana (squinting bush brown), 348 nucleotides. RefSeq lists it as uncharacterized. The record is from RefSeq and is a predicted model, not a curated record. Lineage: Eukaryota; Metazoa; Arthropoda; Insecta; Lepidoptera; Nymphalidae. The transcript is spliced from 3 exons.